This 514-nucleotide ribosomal RNA is filed under the name uncultured Acidobacteriaceae bacterium. RNAcentral's name for it is "bacterial SSU rRNA". It matches the Rfam family "Bacterial small subunit ribosomal RNA", at positions 8 to 504 of the family's 1533-position model. Lineage: Bacteria; Pseudomonadati; Acidobacteriota; Terriglobia; Terriglobales; Acidobacteriaceae. The record is from RNAcentral.
AGAGUUUGAUCAUGGCUCAGAAUCAACGCUGGCGGCGUGCCUAACACAUGCAAGUCGAACGCGAAAGCCCCGCAAGGGGUAAGUAGAGUGGCAAACGGGUGAGUAACACGUGGGUGAUCUGCCUCAGAGUGGGGGAUAACGACCCGAAAGGGUCGCUAAUACCGCAUAACAUCCUGCCUUUGGAUAGGUGGAGAUCAAAGCCGGGGACCGCAAGGCCUGGCGCUUGGAGAGGAGCCCGCGGCCGAUUAGCUAGUUGGUAGGGUAACGGCCUACCAAGGCAACGAUCGGUAUCCGGCCUGAGAGGGCGGACGGACACACUGGGACUGAGACACGGCCCAGACUCCUACGGGAGGCAGCAGUGGGGAAUUGUUCGCAAUGGGCGCAAGCCUGACGACGCAACGCCGCGUGGAGGACGAAGAUUUUCGGAUCGUAAACUCCUUUCGAUCGGGAAGAACAGCUCUUGGGUUAACAGCCUGAGGGUCUGACGGUACCGAGAGAAGAGUCCGCCUGCCCC